Molecule: long non-coding RNA, 255 nt
Filed under: Elaeis guineensis (African oil palm)
Lineage: Eukaryota; Viridiplantae; Streptophyta; Magnoliopsida; Arecales; Arecaceae
Description: long non-coding RNA (EGUI_LNC025372)
Source: RNAcentral
UGCCAAGGCUUUGACGUCCAAUUAGCGCCAAGCACAAAUUAAAAAGGGAAGAGGAUCCAUAUACCUAGAUUUCAUUGAAUAACAAGAGACUAUUUUAUUUUUCUUUUGAUGAAAUUGAUUUAAUCUAACUAGUUCAAUCCACAAAUUUGUAACCAAACUAUAAUUUGCUGAGUAUUUGGUAACGAUUCUCCCUCACAUACACGUCUCUUUAAGCAACUGACAGUGACUGGAGGUUUAUCUGUCAAUACAAACUAC